UGGGGAAUAUUGCACAAUGGAGGGAACUCUGAUGCAGCGACGCCGCGUGAGUGAUGAAGGACUUCGUUUCGUAAAACUCUGUUCUAUGGGAAGAAAAGGACUGUACCAUAGGAGAAAGCUCCGGCUAAAUACGUGCCAGCAGCCGCGGUAAUACGUAUGGAGCGAGCGUUGUCCGGAAUUAUUGGGCGUAAAGGGUGCGCAGGCGGCUUUACAAGUUGGAUGUGAAAUAUUGUGGCUCAACCACAAACGUGCAUCCAAAACUGCAAAGCUUGAGUUAAGGAGAGGUAAGUGGAAUUCCUGGUGUAGCGGUGGAAUGCGUAGAGAUCAGGAGGAAUACCGGUGGCGAAGGCGACUUACUGGACUUAAACUGACGCUCAGGCACGAAAGCGUGGGGAGCAAACAGG
This 404-nucleotide ribosomal RNA is filed under the name Fusobacteriota bacterium. Its description in RNAcentral is "Fusobacteria bacterium partial 16S ribosomal RNA". It matches the Rfam family "Bacterial small subunit ribosomal RNA", at positions 355 to 776 of the family's 1533-position model. Lineage: Bacteria; Fusobacteriati; Fusobacteriota. The record is from RNAcentral.